CCUACGGGGGGCAGCAGCAAGGAGUUUUCCGCAAUGGGCGAAAGCCUGACGGAGCAACGCCGCGUGGGGGAUGACACCUUUCGGGGCGUAAACCCCUUUUCUUGGGGACGAAGCAGUGACGGUACCCGAGGAAGAAGGCCCGGCUAACUACGUGCCAGCAGCCGCGGUAAUACGUAGGGGCCGAGCGUUGUCCGGAGUUACUGGGCGUAAAGCGCGCGCAGGCGGCUCGUCAAGCCUGACGUGAAAGCCCCCGGCUCAACCGGGGAGGGUCGUCGGGGACUGGCGGGCUUGAGGUCGGCAGGGGUUGGUGGAAUUCCCGGUGUAGUGGUGAAAUGCGUAGAGAUCGGGAGGAACACCCGUGGCGAAGGCGGCCAACUGGGCCGGACCUGACGCUGAGGCGCGAAGGCGUGGGGAGCGAACGGGAUUAGAUACCCCAGUAGUC
RNAcentral lists this ribosomal RNA (442 nucleotides) under uncultured bacterium. RNAcentral's name for it is "bacterial SSU rRNA". It matches the Rfam family "Bacterial small subunit ribosomal RNA", at positions 338 to 795 of the family's 1533-position model. The record is from RNAcentral.